AAAAUACUAUUAAGUAGAAAAAAUAUCAGGCAUACAGUGCAAGAUAUCUGAAUGACAAUUGUGAGGUAAGAUUAGAGGUCAUAAGCAGACAGACUGGGGAAGGAAAGAUAGAUUUGAAAAUCAUCAAUAUAGAGAUGGUAGUCAAGGCCAUGUGAGCUGAUUAAAUCACUAAGUAUAAAGGGAAAACAAAAGAAGGCCGAGGUCAAAACUAUGAGAAACACUACAGUUAGAGGGUGAAUUUGGAGGAGGAUUCACCAAAGGAAACAGACAAGGAAGGGUGAGAAUGGAGACUGAACAACAUCAACAAGGAGGAGAAAAACAUGAAAACCUGCUACACACAAGAAAAAGCAGAAAGAAGACAUCUACUUUUUUAUUGAAAUAACGAAGACUAUCAAAAAAUCAAAAUCAGCAAGCAUCAGUUGUUGGAGAAGGUGUUAGAACGAAGAAGUGGUAAGCAGUAUAGAGAACUCCCCUCCAUAAAACUUCUCCAAACAGACCUAGAAAAUGUACCAAAUCAAAUCCUGAUACAGAAAUCCAGAAAAAGUCACAAUAAGUUAUUUGUCUACCCCAGCUUGGUAUAAGGAAACAGUCACUGGGGAUGGGAUCAAACCAAGAACAUGCUGCAGAAGCACUCUGCCAUCUAGAGAGAAGCCACACAUUGAUUGGAAGAGAUCUCAUACUGAUACCAUGGCACCACUAGACCCAUACCCAGGGACUGGAAUUACAACAGCCUUUUGUGUAGCGAAUUUCUCGUUGGGAACCCACCCUAAUUUGAUGUUCUGGAGAACUAGGAGACCAACCCAUAUUCCUGCCACGAUCCAUACCUCAUCAUUUGGUGGCCCGUACGGGGAUUUCUUUUUACUGAGAGGAGAAAAAGAGGAUCUGGGACCUGGCCCAAAAGUGUGGAGACAAGCUGGCCAUCACCUCCCCUGGUAGAUAUCAAGCAGGGGCUGUAGCAGUGCCUGUUGCAGACCCUGGGUGGAACUAUCAGGAGGGGAGCAGGGAUAGAGAAAAAAGGGAUCAUUUCCUAACCUGCCUCAUUUGAGGGUAUGAAAAAGGGGAUUAAAAAGCAGACUCUGGCUGUCGCUAUUUCCAAGGGUCCCCAAAGCUUGUGCUUUAGGUACAAUCAGCCCAGUCAUUGUGCGAAAAACUGCCCUCAGAAGAGCCAGCCUCCAGGCCCUUAUUCCAGAUACAGAUGGGAAGACACCGGAAGAACAAUUGCCCUGAGAAGGGGAGGACCACAGCCUCUAACCUCACCCUCCAGGCCUCUCCAGGCCGGACUGACAAGGCCCUGGGCUUGGCUAUGGCCCCCCACCUCCAUCAGUGAAGCCAAGCCCAGGGUGACUUUGGAAAUAAGAGGUAUGCCAGUUUCUUUCCUCUUUGACACUGGCACUUUUCUCUGUUCUGCUCACACAUUCGGGUUCUACUCGCCCCUCCUCCCAUAAGGUGAUGGGAAUUGAAGGGAAAAUUAGAUAUUGUUUGGAAACCCUCCCCCUGCCUUGUCCGUUCGGGGACCUAUUGUUUCCACAUUCAUUUUUAAUUAUCCCUUCCUGUCCCAGCCCAUUGAUGGGUAGGGACUUGAUGAUGAAACUGGGAGCCCAAUUCUCUCUGGUGAAGCCCCAGAUAAUCUCUGUGCACUCCUCUUCAGACCCCCUCACGUUCCCUGUGAAAUCUGGGAGGAAAUAGACUCUUCUGUGUGGGACCAGGGCAUACCUGGGAGAGCCACGAAUGCCACUCCAGCCCUUAUCAGAUUAAGGGAUCCUGGUGUAUUUCCUCAUAGGCACCAAUACCCAAUUAAGCAGAAAGAUAGGAUAGGGCUGCAGCCUUUAAUUGACAAGUUCCUUAAAUUUAAACUCCUGAUUCCUUGCCACUCCCCUUGUAAUACUCCGAUUCUUUCUGUCAGAAAGCUGAACGGAGAUUACCGGCUAGUGUAGGAUUUUAGGGCAAUUAAUGAAACAGUUGUCCCGAUCCAUCCCAUAGUGGCCAACCCAUAUACAAUUCUUGCACAAAUUCCAGGGAAUACACGAUGGUUUUCCAGUAUCCCUCUGCAUGAGGACUCCAGAUUCCUUUUUGCCUUUGAAUGGGCUAAGCCAGGGGAACUUCCCCAUCAACUAACUUGGACUGUAUUGCCCCAGGGCUUUCGGGACAGCCCACAUUUAUUCGGCCAAGUCCUAGCUAAAGAUCUGCGGGACCUUAAUCUGUCUGGCAGCAGUCUUAUACAAUAUGUUGAUGAUACAUUACUUUGCAGCCGACCAAAGAGGAGUCUCUGACAGCAGCCACAAAGACCUUAAACUUUCUAGCCUCGAGGGGAUACAGGGUCUCCCUACCAAAGGCCCAUAUUACCUGCCAGUCAAAUAUUUGGGUCACAAUUUCACCCCCAUCUCUAAUUGAGGAGAGGAAACAGGUUAUUUUAAGCCUCCCAGAUCCAGCAACAAAAAAACAACUGAGAACCUUUCUCGGCAUGGCUGGUUUCUGCAGAAUCUGGAUUCCUAAUUUUGGGAUUAUUGCCAGACCCCUCUAUGAUUCUGUUCAAGGUCCUGAUGACCUUCCUCUUGAAUGGGGACGGCGCAGGUCAAAGCUUUUAAAA
This is a long non-coding RNA of Sarcophilus harrisii (Tasmanian devil), 2587 nucleotides long. RefSeq lists it as uncharacterized. The record is from RefSeq and is a predicted model, not a curated record. The transcript has 5 exons. Lineage: Eukaryota; Metazoa; Chordata; Mammalia; Dasyuromorphia; Dasyuridae.